AUUGAACGCUGGCGGCAGGCCUAACACAUGCAAGUCGAGCGGAUGAAGGGAGCUUGCUCCUGGAUUCAGCGGCGGACGGGUGAGUAAUGCCUAGGAAUCUGCCGGGUAGUGGGGGAUAACGUCCGGAAACGGGCGCUAAUACCGCAUACGUCCUGAGGGAGAAGGUGGGGGAUCUUCGGACCUCACGCUAUCAGAUGAGCCUAGGUCGGAUUAGCUAGUUGGUGGGGUAAAGGCCUACCAAGGCGACGAUCCGUAACUGGUCUGAGAGGAUGAUCAGUCACACUGGAACUGAGACACGGUCCAGACUCCUACGGGAGGCAGCAGUGGGGAAUAUUGGACAAUGGGCGAAAGCCUGAUCCAGCCAUGCCGCGUGUGUGAAGAAGGUCUUCGGAUUGUAAAGCACUUUAAGUUGGGAGGAAGGGCAGUAAGUUAAUACCUUGCUGUUUUGACGUUACCAACAGAAUAAGCACCGGCUAACUUCGUG
RNAcentral lists this ribosomal RNA (484 nucleotides) under uncultured bacterium. Its description in RNAcentral is "partial 16S ribosomal RNA". It matches the Rfam family "Bacterial small subunit ribosomal RNA", at positions 30 to 507 of the family's 1533-position model. The record is from RNAcentral.